GAUGAACGCUAGCUACAGGCUUAACACAUGCAAGUCGAGGGGCAGCAUGAACUUAGCUUGCUAAGUUUGAUGGCGACCGGCGCACGGGUGAGUAACACGUAUCCAACCUGCCGAUGACUCGGGGAUAGCCUUUCGAAAGAAAGAUUAAUACCCGAUGGCAUAGUUCUUCCGCAUGGUAGAACUAUUAAAGGAUUUCGGUCAUCGAUGGGGAUGCGUUCCAUUAGGUUGUUGGCGGGGUAACGGCCCACCAAGCCUUCGAUGGAUAGGGGUUCUGAGAGGAAGGUCCCCCCACAUUGGAACUGAGACACGGUCCAAACUCCUACGGGAGGCAGCAGUGAGGAAUAUUGGUCAAUGGACGAGAGUCUGAACCAGCCAAGUAGCGUGAAGGAUGACUGCCCUAUGGGUUGUAAACUUCUUUAUACGGGAAUAAAGUGAGGCACGCGUGCCUUUUGUAUGUACCGUAUGAAUAAGGAUCGGCUAACUCCGUGCCAGCAG
RNAcentral lists this ribosomal RNA (495 nucleotides) under uncultured bacterium. RNAcentral describes it as "bacterial SSU rRNA". It matches the Rfam family "Bacterial small subunit ribosomal RNA", at positions 28 to 514 of the family's 1533-position model. The record is from RNAcentral.